GAGGGGUGAGCAAAGAUUUGCUUGAAGGCAGCCAGUCCUACGGUCUAAACGGUAGUAUAAUAUUUGUACAAUAUUUGUAUCAAAUUACUUCUGCCUACUGCGGUGUCCCUCUUAGCCAGGAAGCCAGAGCCAAGAGGGUCUCGGACAGUUCCCGCGUGCGAUUCUCCACGUACAAAACCGACCGCCCCAACGUAACUUUGCUAACUUAGUCCGCUCCGGCCCAGCCGGCCCCCGAAGCACAGUGACGGUGAAAACGUGUUGACACUGGAAAAUCAUUUCCACGACAGCCUAAGUGUGUUGGAAAGCACAAAGGCGAUCCCUGUCGGCCAGCGAUCGCUAGGAAGUUGCUGUAUGCGGGACGCCUGUGCCAGGCCGGCGUCCAGGUAAGGAGUCCCCGCACCACAGCUUCGCCCUCCCCUUCUUGGACAUUCAGGGGCUCCACCUCACUUUGGAACCGAUUCACCACAACGCGUCACCCACCCCGUUCUUUUUUCCAGGAGUUUUUUGAGACAGGAUCUCUUACUGAAGCUCACUGAUCCAGCUAGACGGGCUGACCGGCAAGCCCCAGGAAUGUCCCUAUCUCGGCCUCGCCUCCUCAGCUCUGGGAUCGCACAGGUUCUUCAUGGUGUGACUCCCCUCCCCACCCAUGAUGGACAGUACUUGGAGCUGUGAGUAAAAUCAAUCCUUCCUUCUUCAGCUGCUUCUGCAUAGCAUUUUACCACAGUAACAGAAAAAGAAACCAAUGCACAGCAUUUCAGAGUUUGGGAAUUAGGGAUGCUCAACCUGUCUGUUAAAGCCUCGAUCUAUAGAGACUAUUAAUUAAAAACAGAAACACCCCCCCCCCAAUCUCAAACCCACAUGUCCUGUGGAGAACAAUGCACUGCUGUCCUGGAAUGUUUGAGCUGAAAGCUCCUUUGCAGACUAGUCUGUCACCAUCAUUUCAGCAAUGAAGGUAGGAAGUGAAGAAGCUUGCCUGCUUAUUUUUAAAGGUUCCGUUUCUCAUUGGUUAUUAUUGCGGGUGUGCAUGGUGAAUGAAUGGGAGAAAGUGCUUGUGUGGAGGUCAGAGGACAAUUGGGUGGAGUUGGUUCACUUCUACAUUUACAUGGGUUCUGGGAAUCGAACUCAGGUCAUCAGGCUCAGGCAGCAAGCACCUUUUACCUGCUGAGCCAUUGUGCUGACCCAAGAUGCUCUUUAUAAAAAUUGGUUCAUUGAUAUGUUGAGGUGGUCC
Molecule: long non-coding RNA, 1228 nt
Organism: Peromyscus leucopus (white-footed mouse)
Lineage: Eukaryota; Metazoa; Chordata; Mammalia; Rodentia; Cricetidae
Exons: 3
Source: RefSeq, a predicted model, not a curated record